This 477-nucleotide ribosomal RNA is filed under the name uncultured bacterium. RNAcentral's name for it is "partial 16S ribosomal RNA". It matches the Rfam family "Bacterial small subunit ribosomal RNA", at positions 29 to 507 of the family's 1533-position model. The record is from RNAcentral.
AUUGAACGCUGGCGGCAUGCCUUACACAUGCGAGUCGAACGGUAACAGGUUAAGCUGGCGAGUGGCGAGCGGGUGAGUAAUGUAUCGGAACGUGCCCAGACGUGGGGGAUAACUGCUCGAAAGAGCAGCUAAUACCGCAUACGACCUGAGGGUGAAAGCGGGGGAUCGGAAGGCCUCGCACGGUUGGAGCGGCCGGUAUGGGAUUAGGUAGUUGGUGAGGUAAAGGCUCACCAAGUCGACGAUCUGUAUCUGGUCUGAGAGGGGGACCAGCCACACUGGGACUUAGACACGGCCCAUACGCCUACGGGAGGCAGCAGAGGGGAAUGUGGGACAAUGGGCGCAAGCCUGAUCCAGCCAUGCCGCGUGCGAGAAGAAGGCCUUCGGGUUGUAAAGCGGUUUUGUCAGGGAAGAAAAGGUUCUGGCUAAUACCUGGGGCUCAUGACGGUACCUGAAGAAGAAGCACCGGCUAACUACGUG